CCCAGGGUUCACACCCUGGACUACCAGAUUUCGCCCCGUUGGGGCU
The sequence is a small RNA, 46 nucleotides long. It matches the Rfam family "Acido-Lenti-1 RNA". The record is from Rfam.